Molecule: long non-coding RNA, 357 nt
Organism: Juglans regia (Persian walnut)
Lineage: Eukaryota; Viridiplantae; Streptophyta; Magnoliopsida; Fagales; Juglandaceae
Exons: 3
Source: RefSeq, a predicted model, not a curated record
AUGCCCACUUCCUUCCCUAGCUGAGCACUUAGCAUGAUACUCCUUUCACUACUCCGAUGACAGAAGCUGAGGGCAAAUCAAUAAACAAAUUGGAUUAGCUGGGACCCGGGCGAUUGCAUGAUGCUAUGUGCCCCCCGAGUCGCACAAUCUGGUCACUAGCUGUACAUCCUUUACUUUCUAGAGUAAGUCACAUGGUAGCUACGCUGAGAAGAAGAAGAUCCUUCUGCAGGAGUGGACUUUGACUUAAUUCGGAACUUGGCCCAUAAUGCAAAAUGGAGUAUUACCCGCUGGUGGAUUUUGCAAAUAGAGCACAUCUAACCUCAAAACUUUUAAAGUACACACAUCAUUGAGAGCAAA